UAAGACGAAGGUGGCAAGCGUUGUUCGGUGUUACUGGGCUUAAAGCGUGUGUAGGCGGAAAAGUAAGCGCUUUGUGAAAUCCCCCGGCUUAACCGGGGAAUUGCUGGGCGUACUGCUUUUCUUGAGGCAAGUAGGGGUGCAUGGAACUCUUGGUGGAGCGGUGGAAUGCGUAGAUAUCAAGAGGAACGCCAGUGGAGAAAUCGGUGCACUGGGCUUGUCCUGACGCUGAGACACGAAAGCGUGGGGAGCGAACGGGAUUAGAUACCCCGGUAGUCCACGCUGUAAACGAUGUCUACUAGGUUGUGGAGGUUCUGACACCUGCACGACCGAAGCAAAAGUGUUAAGUAGACCGCCUGGGGAGUACGGUCGCAAGGCUA
This 377-nucleotide ribosomal RNA is filed under the name uncultured bacterium. RNAcentral describes it as "bacterial SSU rRNA". It matches the Rfam family "Bacterial small subunit ribosomal RNA", at positions 521 to 896 of the family's 1533-position model. The record is from RNAcentral.